RNAcentral lists this ribosomal RNA (341 nucleotides) under uncultured Alphaproteobacteria bacterium. RNAcentral's name for it is "bacterial SSU rRNA". It matches the Rfam family "Bacterial small subunit ribosomal RNA", at positions 29 to 393 of the family's 1533-position model. Lineage: Bacteria; Pseudomonadati; Pseudomonadota; Alphaproteobacteria. The record is from RNAcentral.
AACGAACGCUGGCGGCAGGCUUAACACAUGCAAGUCGAGCGCACUCUUCGGAGUGAGCGGCAGACGGGUGAGUAACGCGUGGGAAUCUACCUAUCACUACGGAAUAACACAGAGAAAUUUGUGCUAAUACCGUAUAACGUCCUAAUGGAGAAAGAUUUAUCGGUGAUGGAUGAGCCCGCGUUGGAUUAGCUAGUUGGUGAGGUAAAGGCUCACCAAGGCGACGAUCCCAUAGCUGGUCUGAGAGGAUGAUCAGCCACACUGGGACUGAGACACGGCCCAGACUCCUACGGGAGGCAGCAGUGGGGGAAUAUUGGGACAAUUGGGGGACGCAAGGCCUGGAU